UAGGAUAGGUGGGAGGCUUUGAAGUGUGGACGCCAGUCUGCAUGGAGCCGACCUUGAAAUACCACCCUUUAAUGUUUGAUGUUCUAACGUGGACCCGUAAUCCGGGUUGCGGACAGUGUCUGGUGGGUAGUUUGACUGGGGCGGUCUCCUCCUAAAGAGUAACGGAGGAGCACGAAGGUUGGCUAAUCCUGGUCGGACAUCAGGAGGUUAGUGCAAUGGCAUAAGCCAGCUUGACUGCGAGCGUGACGGCGCGAGCAGGUGCGAAAGCAGGUCAUAGUGAUCCGGUGGUUCUGAAUGGAAGGGCCAUCGCUCAACGGAUAAAAGGUACUCCGGGGAUAACAGGCUGAUACCGCCCAAGAGUUCAUAUCGACGGCGGUGUUUGGCACCUCGAUGUCGGCUCAUCACAUCCUGGGGCUGAAGUAGGUCCCAAGGGUAUGGCUGUUCGCCAUUUAAAGUGGUACGCGAGCUGGGUUUAGAACGUCGUGAGACAGUUCGGUCCCUA
Molecule: ribosomal RNA, 502 nt
Filed under: Escherichia coli
Lineage: Bacteria; Pseudomonadati; Pseudomonadota; Gammaproteobacteria; Enterobacterales; Enterobacteriaceae
Description: partial 23S ribosomal RNA
Rfam family: Bacterial large subunit ribosomal RNA
Source: RNAcentral